Long non-coding RNA from Hippocampus comes (tiger tail seahorse), 276 nucleotides. RefSeq lists it as uncharacterized. NCBI's taxonomy places the organism in Eukaryota, Metazoa, Chordata, Actinopteri, Syngnathiformes, Syngnathidae. The record is from RefSeq and is a predicted model, not a curated record. The transcript has 2 exons.
GACAUGACAUCAACAACUUUGGAGCCAAUUAUUGUCAGCGCAGCACGGCGGAGUGCAACUCGCAAACCUGAGAACAGACUCGAGGCUUUGUUGUUACAGCUUGUUACAUUGCUGGCCAGACAAGAAAUGUAACCUAAAACUAGCCGCAGUAUUUGAAACAAUAUCGCUCACACACACACUCACACACACACACACACUGUAUUGUACUGCCUGAAUUGUUGGCAGUUCGGAUCCGCAGUUGUUAUUUGACAUAAAUUAAAAAGAUGUAAGACAGCC